GAUGAACGCUAGCGGCAGGCUUAACACAUGCAAGUCGAGGGGUAACAGGGUUUAGUUUACUAGAUUGCUGACGACCGGCGCACGGGUGAGUAACGCGUAUACAAUUUACCUUUUACAGGGGGAUAGCCCAGAGAAAUUUGGAUUAAUACCCCAUAGUAUUAUUGACCGGCCUCGGUUGAUAAUUAAAGUUCCGACGGUAAAAGAUGAGUAUGCGUCCUAUUAGCUAGAUGGUGAGGUAACGGCUCACCAUGGCGACGAUAGGUAGGGGUCCUGAGAGGGGAGACUCCCCCAACUGGUACUGAGACACGGACCAGACUCCUACGGGAGCAGCAGUGAGGAUAUGGUCAAUGGAGGCAACUCUGAACCAGCCAUGCCGCGUGCAGGAAGACGGCCCUAUGGGUUU
This 403-nucleotide ribosomal RNA is filed under the name uncultured bacterium. RNAcentral's name for it is "bacterial SSU rRNA". It matches the Rfam family "Bacterial small subunit ribosomal RNA", at positions 28 to 425 of the family's 1533-position model. The record is from RNAcentral.